This 274-nucleotide ribosomal RNA is filed under the name uncultured bacterium. Its description in RNAcentral is "partial 16S ribosomal RNA". It matches the Rfam family "Bacterial small subunit ribosomal RNA", at positions 524 to 796 of the family's 1533-position model. The record is from RNAcentral.
UACGUAGGGUGCGAGCGUUAUCCGGAAUCAUUGGGCGUAAAGAGCUCGUAGGCGGUUCAGCAAGUCGGCUGUGAAAGUCCGAGGCUCAACCUCGGAAUUGCAGUCGAUACUGCUGUGACUCGAGUCCGGUAGAGGAGAAUGGAAUUCUCGGUGUAGCGGUGAAAUGCGCAGAUAUCGAGAGGAACACCAGUAGCGAAGGCGGUUCUCUGGGCCGGCACUGACGCUGAGGAGCGAAAGCGUGGGGAGCAAACAGGAUUAGAUACCCUUGUAGUCC